Molecule: long non-coding RNA, 785 nt
Organism: Gossypium arboreum
Lineage: Eukaryota; Viridiplantae; Streptophyta; Magnoliopsida; Malvales; Malvaceae
Exons: 2
Source: RefSeq, a predicted model, not a curated record
UAAGAUUGAAAUUAUCCCUGAUCCUGAAACACUGCAUUGAGGCAUGGACUAAGAUGCAACAUCAAAAAAACUUUAGGGAAGAUUUUAAUAGAACCAAAACCAAUCAGACGCAAAAAGGAGUUAAUCGCAACGCAGCGCGAUUAGGAAGGGCCAGCUGCACAAAUAAUCCAUUUUAGGCGCAAAGGGGUGGAUUCGGGUCUCCAAGCGGGUUGACGCGCGGACCCUACCCCCUUUUGGAACGACGCCGUUUCUGAAUCUGCUGUUAAACCCCCCUUUUUCAAUUGCUUUCUACUUAAAACGCAAAUCCUUCAAUUUAAAGUAAGUUAUGCUAUCAGCCCAUUCCCUUAGGGCUUCCUUUAGCAUGCCGCCGCCGAUGAUAGAACUACUUGGAACCAGGAAAUCAAUUUGCAGCCUCAAGACCACUCCUCAGACUUCGAUUUUAGCGAAGCAAAGAAGAAUCCGUGGCGAUUUUGCAAAGUAUGGAGAAACGACCGUACGGAGAAAGUCGCUCGUGAAAGCCGUGCGUGAGCUCGAUUGCAGCACUGGUGUGUUCUAGAAACCCUUAGGUUUCUGGCAUUUCCAAGCAGCUGGGCCUUUUGGGCCGUUUGUGAAUUGGGCUGCGAGUUUGGGUUAUUAGUUAUUAGGUUUUAGGAUUGGGUCAAGUUUUAUGUAACUGGGUUAAGUUUAUAUUAAGGGACUUUGGGUUUAAGUUACUUUUGGCCCAAAUAUUUGUAACUGGACAUUGGACUUCUGAUUUUGGGCUCUUUAUUUGUGUGUUUUUUUUA